GAUGAACGCUAGCGGCAGGCCUAACACAUGCAAGUCGAGGGAGAAGCCCUUUCGGGGGCAGAAACCGGCGCACGGGUGCGUAACGCGCAUGCAACCUACUUUUCACAGGGGGAUAGCCCGAAGAAAUUUGGAUUAAUACCCCAUAAUAUUAUUGGAUGGCAUCAUUUGAUAAUUAAAACUGCGGUGGUGAAAGAUGGGCAUGCGUCCUAUUAGCUAGUUGGAGUGGUAACGGCACCCCAAGGCUACGAUAGGUAGGGGACCUGAGAGGGAGAUCCCCCACACUGGUACUGAGACAGUGACCAGACUCCUACGGGAGGCAGCAGUGAGGAAGAUGGGUCAAUGGUCGGAAGACUGAACCAGCCAUGCCGCGUGCAGGAAGAAUGCCUUAUGGGUUGUAAGCUGCUUUUAUAUGGGAAGAAUAAGGCGUACGUGUACGUUGAUGACGGUACCAUAUGAAUAAGCAUCGGCUAACUCCGUG
Molecule: ribosomal RNA, 478 nt
Filed under: uncultured bacterium
Lineage: Bacteria
Description: partial 16S ribosomal RNA
Rfam family: Bacterial small subunit ribosomal RNA
Source: RNAcentral